CAAUAAUGACAUAUUAGUUCUUGUUAAUUUUGGACAAAGUGCUUUCAGUUAUGCGCCUGCAAAUGCUCAACGAACACCGAAUCCUUGCUUCAUUGGGCCUCUUGUAAAUUCCUCUGCUUUGGGGUAUGACGAUAGCAAAGAACUCUUCUCAAUGGGAAGGAUAGACUCUCAGUGGCUUAAUAGAAGUACAACUAAAGGUUCCCACAACAGCAAUGGUACUAAUAAUAACCGGACAGUUGAUUUCGAUGAAGAAUCUGAGGCUGAUUUGUUUGAAAUUGUCUUGGAUGGUUCUGCUUCUGCAACUGGAAGAUCUCCAAGCACAGUGUUGCGCUAACAAUUUUCUGUAAAGGGUAUCUACUGUUUCUGUUUGCUGAGUGCCAUGGAUUUGUCUUUUGCUAUAUAGUUAACAUCAGAGAAAUUCAACAAAUAGAAACAGGUUUUGUGAGGGCCAUUCUUUAUUGAUACAUUU
Molecule: unclassified non-coding RNA, 469 nt
Filed under: Hevea brasiliensis (rubber tree)
Lineage: Eukaryota; Viridiplantae; Streptophyta; Magnoliopsida; Malpighiales; Euphorbiaceae
Source: RNAcentral